RNAcentral lists this long non-coding RNA (211 nucleotides) under Gossypium barbadense (sea-island cotton). RNAcentral describes it as "long non-coding RNA (GBAR_LNC006904)". Lineage: Eukaryota; Viridiplantae; Streptophyta; Magnoliopsida; Malvales; Malvaceae. The record is from RNAcentral.
UAACUUAUACUAUAAAUGGGGUCACCUCUAAGCCAUUCCAUAAUUUCACUAAUUCAAAAACCUAUAAGUUUUCUGAAAAAGUCUCUAAACAAACUAAAGAACUUGAAAAAAUUCUGACAAAUGCCAUAUAAGUUUUGAAGAAAAGCCACAUUCUGAUUUAGUUUAACUGAGGAAGCCAAAAGUUAUUUUUGAAAAAAAAAAUUGCCUUUUG